UAAAAUCUCUCUAUAUAUUGUCGCGGUAAAAUCCGUUGAUUGCCUCCAUCGUUGAGAUUCCGGAAGGAUCGUUAUUGUUCGGAAGAAGAAAGUGCAGAGCAUAGAAGAGUUGGAAGGAGGAGUCUGGAGGAUGGGGCAGUCAUCGUCGAGGGAGGAGGAGGUAUCACCGGAGCUGCGUGAAGUACAAUCGCUGGCUGCGUCGACUGGAGCCCUUCCUUCACUCGAAAAGGCGUUUUCUGUUCUGUCUGAUCCACAAACUAAAUCGAUUCCCAUACAGUCUCUUCAGAAAUGUUUUGAAUUGACUUUCGAGAGGUUGAAGUUUGAGCAAGAUGUGAUGUUUGAGGAAUUCCCUCUACUAUUUACUCAUUUCGGAUCUACGAUAGUAGACUUGUUUUUUGUGGCCGAUAAGGAUGGAGUAAGUUGGAUUGAAUUCUUGAGGGGAUACACCAAGUGUUGCGCCAGGGCGGCUGGUUCGGCAUUACUCAAUAAUUUACUGCAAGUGUUUACUGUGACAUGUUCGAAGGCUGGGAUUUCGGUUGGUUUGAAAUUCGAGGUGUAUGAUGGGGAUUGUAAGAUAAGUGGUUUGUUUUCUACGCAUGAUGUUGUUAUGCUUCUUUGGAUUAGUUGGAUUAUUUCGUGGGAUUCUAGAGCAUUGAGAUCGAAUAUGCAGAAGAGUGGAAGGGAAUGCCGUGUUCCGGAUGUUUCUCAUCUUGUAUUAUCAGCUAUUGAAUCAUGUGUGGAAGAGGGCAAUAAAUUGGACUUUUGGGAUUCUUCUGUUUCUAAAUUGGAUGUUCAACUUCAUGCUCCGAAAUGUCAUAUGUGGGCAUUGAAGACAGUACCAAACCUUGCAGAUUGUUUGACAGAAUUCGUCCAUACAAGACUUUGCUACUCUGCAGCUCAUGAGGAAAUAUCAGAGCAAUCGUGCUCGUCUUCUGAGGAAAGAUCCUUAUCAUCAGUUUCAGAAAGUAAACUUUUGACUAGUGGAAUGGCCUGGGCCAUCUCUCUUACCCUAAGAGGUAACAUACAUGAAGAGAUGUCAAAGAUUUGCUUCCCAAGUGACAUUGAUGAAGUGAAUGAGAACAUACUUUACAGGUCAUCAGUUCAUGGGAAAGGUAUCAACCGAUUUUGGUCGAAUAUUGAAGGCUACAAUGGUCCUUUACUAUUACUUAUCUCAGCCUGCAAGGAGUUAAACGAUGGAAGAAGAUGGGUCAUUGGUGCACUCACUCAUCAGGGUUUUGAAAGUAAGGAGAUGUUUUAUGGAACAUCCGGCAGUCUCUACGCAUUAACUCCGGUGUUUCAUGCAUAUUUAUCUUUUGGAAGGGAGAAGAACUUUGUCUAUAGCCAUUUGCAUACAACUGGUAGAGUGUAUGAACCUCACCCAAAACCAGUGGGAAUUGCAUUUGGUGGAUCUACUGGAAAUGAACGCAUAUUUAUCGAUGAGGAUUUUGCUAGAGUUACCGUACGGCAUCAUGCGGUUGAUAAAACAUAUCAACAUGGAGCCCUUUUCCCAAAUCAGGGGUUCUUGCCUACUGAAGCCUUGGUGUUAGAAGUAGAGGCAUGGGGAUUAGGGGGCCGGGCUGCUCGAAAAUUCCAAGAUGCUUAUAAAAAGCGGGAAGAACUUUUCACCGAGCAGAGGCGGAAGGUUGACCUGAAAACAUUUGCCAAUUGGGAAGACUCGCCAGAAAAGAUGAUGAUGGACUUGAUGUCUAAUCCAAACACAGUCCGGCGAGAAGAUCGAUGAUUCUCAAUGACAGUAGCUACUACAACAGCCUUGUUUCUGUAUAUCAGAUUUCGAAGCCUUAGCGUACCAUGUCAAGGAAAUCAUGCUUGGUAAAGGUGUAAAUAGCCAAGAACAACAAUCAACGCACAUCUGAAAAUAGCAAGAAAUAGUUUAGAUAUCGGUACCUUGAGGAGAUUGCGCUCCAAUCGCUUUUGAAUUCUGCUGGGCAAGAGAUAGAGAACGCCGGACAUUAGGAGAACCUUGUUUCUCAUUUGUACUGGGCGGCGAACUCCUACUUUUAAUGUGGAUAUUGUUGUGUUGCACAUCCGGACUUGAUCUUGGAGAUCCAUUAGCUAUUGCUUUAGCUCUUGCUGAUUCAGUUGCCUGCAUAUAACUUGGUCGAGAAAUACUGCCGCUGCUGUGUCUCCGGUCCUGAUGCUCAUCACGAGCAGGCAUUGCUGAACCAAAGGAGUUGCGCCUCAUUCCCGUUUUACGAUCCUUUGGUAUUGCGCCUCUGGUGUUCCUGUGUUUGGCCUCUUGCUUAUUGCUGCUGCCCGUGCUUUUCUCAGGUUCAGGUGACAUCUGUCCAGAAGGUGUUACCGGAGAUUCCGUGACUCUUUUAAGGCUAAUUGGAGAAGUUUCAGGUGAUGACUUGUGCACUGAGGGGCGUACAUCGGAUUUGGUAUUCUCAUGAAGCUUGUGUUGAUCUGAUUCGAGCUUUUUGAACUGUGGUGAGUCUGCAGCCACUAAAGGGUUAGUACAUUCACCUGAGACUGACUCGGUGCCUUUGUGGCUCUCCAACUCAUUCGUGGAGGGAUACGAUAAUUCAGUUCCUAAUGUGUAGGAAUUACUAUCAUCGAUUACAUGCCCUGAACGGCCUCUGCCUCCGGGAUGGUCUGUCGUAUCUAAAACUUCAGAUUCCUGUGGGAGGGCAAUGGCUCCACUCUUCGGUACAUCUGUUGAGUCGAGAGUAGAAGAAAUGGAAAGUUCGGUGCCACAUUCAGGUCGAGAAACUUGAAUAGCUGAAUUAUUUGAAGCAGGAGCUAUCUUAUUCGAAGAUGUUGUGUCUGAACUCAGUUCGUCAUGUUUUGACGAUGGAGCGGCACAAGAAGUGGGGCUGCUUCCUUGCAGUGAAAAUUUCUCAGUUUCAGGCAGCUCGGCGACAAGAUGUCCCCGAUCAGGUCUGCAUUCCUGCUCAGCCGCAUUUUCCGGGAGAGUUUCUGUGUCGACAUCUGAUACCAGAACCUUUUCUUUCAUCCCAGUAGGAUCAGGCUGCUGCUUUAUAUCAUAUCCAGCAGAUUCAUCAAUUAUUGGCAGCUUCGGGUGACUUAACGAGCUCAUAACCGAUGACCGUAGCUCAAACUUGUCUGAAUCAUUAUGUUCGGAUUGACCUGAGAUUCUCCCACUGCCUUCGGAGUCUUCAGUCUCCGGUGGUGGUUCACCGGCAACCUUCGACGAAACCGACAUCCAUCUCUCAAGCCAUUUCCAGGCAGUGUCAGAUUUCAAAGGGUCACAUCUAAUUCCUAGAGAUUGAGUCCUUGGUGUUGAUUCCAUAAGCUUAAAUCACAAUCAAUUAUACAUAGUCAGGACUUAGAUGCUUUUGCUCAGCUAUGUAACAUGAAAAAGAGAUCAGAAUAUCAAACAUAUAUAUAUAUAUAUAGUGCUGGUAUGCAUUUAUUUA
This is an RNA transcript of Andrographis paniculata, 3401 nucleotides long. RefSeq lists it as uncharacterized. Lineage: Eukaryota; Viridiplantae; Streptophyta; Magnoliopsida; Lamiales; Acanthaceae. The transcript has 8 exons. The record is from RefSeq and is a predicted model, not a curated record.